AGCCAGACUCCUACGGGAGGCAGCAGUGGGGAAUAUUGCACAAUGGGGGGAACCCUGAUGCAGCGACGCCGCGUGAAGGAAGAAGUAUUUCGGUAUGUAAACUUCUCUCAGCAGGGAAGAAAAUGACGGUACCUGACUAAGAAGCCCCGGCUAACUACGUGCCAGCAGCCGCGGUAAUACGGAGGAUGCGAGCGUUAUCCGGAUUUAUUGGGUUUAAAGGGUGCGUAGGCGGGCUGUUAAGUCAGCGGUCAAAUGUCGGGGCUCAACCCCGGCCUGCCGUUGAAACUGGCGGCCUCGAGUGGGCGAGAAGUAUGCGGAAUGCGUGGUGUAGCGGUGAAAUGCAUAGAUAUCACGCAGAACUCCGAUUGCGAAGGCAGCAUACCGGCGCCCGACUGACGCUGAGGCACGAAAGCGUGGGUAUCGAACAGGAUUAGAUACCCGCGUAAU
RNAcentral lists this ribosomal RNA (447 nucleotides) under uncultured bacterium. RNAcentral's name for it is "bacterial SSU rRNA". It matches the Rfam family "Bacterial small subunit ribosomal RNA", at positions 329 to 794 of the family's 1533-position model. The record is from RNAcentral.